CCUACGGGAGGCAGCAGUGGGGAAUUUUGGACAAUGGGCGAAAGCCUGAUCCAGCAAUGCCGCGUGAGUGAAGAAGGCCUUCGGGUUGUAAAGCUCUUUUGUCAGGGAAGAAACGGUGUGGGCUAAUAUCCCGCACUAAUGACGGUACCUGAAGAAUAAGCACCGGCUAACUACGUGCCAGCAGCCGCGGUAAUACGUAGGGUGCAAGCGUUAAUCGGAAUUACUGGGCGUAAAGCGUGCGCAGGCGGUUUUUGUAAGUCUGUCGUGAAAGCCCCGGGCUCAACCUGGGAAUUGCGAUGGAGACUGCAAGGCUUGAAUCUGGCAGAGGGGGGUAGAAUUCCACGUGUAGCAGUGAAAUGCGUAGAGAUGUGGAGGAACCACCGAUGGCGAAGGCAGCCCCCGUGGGUCAAGAUUGACGCUCAUGCACGAAAGUCGUGGGGAGCAAACAGGUAUUAGACUACCCUGGUAGUCCACGCCCUAAACGAUGUCUACUAGUUGGUUACGGGUUUUAAACUUAACGUUAGGUAACCGCGUACGACGUAACCGUACGGUACGGUAAGGUAACGGACCGUACCCGGUACGGGGUACGGGUUACGGGUUACCGGUACGAACGAACGUUAAACCGUUAACCGUAAACGGUAAAGUUAAGUACGGUACGUAGAGACGUACGACCGACGGACGACGACGACGGGAGGAGG
This 698-nucleotide ribosomal RNA is filed under the name uncultured bacterium. Its description in RNAcentral is "bacterial SSU rRNA". The stretch from base 1 to 533 matches the Rfam family "Bacterial small subunit ribosomal RNA", at positions 338 to 873 of the family's 1533-position model. The record is from RNAcentral.